UCAUCCCUACAUGCAUCCUAGAUCUUUUAUGUCUCUGGACCCCAGUAGCUCGUGUAGAUUUGCUACCAUCGCACACCGCCUUUUAAUGCCAUAGCCUCCAUGCUCUGACUGCCAAGUGCCAUGAUCCAUCCCUGUUGCUCCGAUGACGCUCCUACGCCUCACUACGCACCUAUAUGUGUUGCUCACCAGUGUUCUGUCUACCACCCAAUGCUAAUCGAUCCUCUAUGUCCAGCAAAGACCUUCAAUUAUCUUGCCACUCCCACCCUAAUACUCACCCCCAAACCCUUGGUUUUAUGCUAAUCGAUCCUCUAUGUCAAGGAAAUUAAGACGUUGUCGGCGUUUGAUUUGGACUUGUGCGAAUUCAGUUUGGAUGAUGUGUUGCUCUGUGGCGAUCUCUUGUAUUUCCCGGACAGUUUGCAACAAUAGUUCUGACGAGCCUGAUGGAAAUACAGACUAAUCCAUGUGCUUAAUUACCGUCAGAUUUCUGGUAACUAAUCCAC
This 500-nucleotide long non-coding RNA is filed under the name Oryza brachyantha (malo sina). RNAcentral describes it as "long non-coding RNA (OBRA_LNC002605)". The record is from RNAcentral. Lineage: Eukaryota; Viridiplantae; Streptophyta; Magnoliopsida; Poales; Poaceae.